AAUUUAUAUAGCUCUCUGUGCACAUAUAGAAUAACAAAUAUAUUUCUACAAAAUUUAACUUUUCAUAUUUAUUCUUAUAAAAGCCUCGUGAUAUUCAUGUUUGUUCAUCUGAUUUGUUAUUUUUAAUGCACUAUUUAUUUUUUAAAAGAAAAUAAGUGAAAUGAUAUUUUUGCCAUUUCAAAUAUGUCAGUCUAAAAGUCCCAACUGUUAGAAUUAUGAAGAAAUAUUCUUCCAAAAUUUUUCACUAGUCAUCUUCUUUUUUUUUUACCAUAACAAAUAAUAUAAGAGAAGUAAAAAAGAUUAAUUUACCUUAUUCACUAAACAGAAUUAAGUAUUUUAUUUAUGAUUAACUAUAUUUUUCUAACGGAUCUUAACAGCACGGGUAUAUUUAAAAAUAUUAGAAUUUUUGAAGGAAUAAAUAUGAAAAAUUGAACUUGGUAGUAAUAUAUCUAUUAUUCGAUAUGUUUACAUAAAACUGCAUGCAAUUAACCUAAAAACAAUUCACUAAUU
Molecule: long non-coding RNA, 510 nt
Filed under: Ananas comosus (pineapple)
Lineage: Eukaryota; Viridiplantae; Streptophyta; Magnoliopsida; Poales; Bromeliaceae
Description: long non-coding RNA (ACOM_LNC013078)
Source: RNAcentral